Molecule: ribosomal RNA, 491 nt
Filed under: uncultured bacterium
Lineage: Bacteria
Description: partial 16S ribosomal RNA
Rfam family: Bacterial small subunit ribosomal RNA
Source: RNAcentral
AGUGAACGCUGGCGGUAGGCCUAACACAUGCAAGUCGAACGGCAGCACAGUAAGAGCUUGCUCUUACGGGUGGCGAGUGGCGGACGGGUGAGGAAUACAUCGGAAUCUACUUUUUCGUGGGGGAUAACGUAGGGAAACUUACGCUAAUACCGCAUACGACCUACGGGUGAAAGCAGGGGAUCUUCGGACCUUGCGCGAUUGAAUGAGCCGAUGUCGGAUUAGCUAGUUGGCGGGGUAAAGGCCCACCAAGGCGACGAUCCGUAGCUGGUCUGAGAGGAUGAUCCCCCACACGGGACCUUGGACCCGGUCCAGCCCCCUACGGGGGGCCGCGGUGGGGAAUUUUGGACAAGGGGCGCAACCCUGACCCAGCCAUCCCGCGUGGGUGAAGAAGGCCUUCGGGUUGUAAACCCCUUUUGUUGGGAAAAAAAAGCAGCAGGUUAAUCCCCCGCUGUUCUGGCGGUACCAAAAGAAUAAGCCCCGGCUACCUUCGU